This 1947-nucleotide ribosomal RNA is filed under the name human oral metagenome. RNAcentral describes it as "bacterial LSU rRNA". It matches the Rfam family "Bacterial large subunit ribosomal RNA", at positions 1103 to 2925 of the family's 2925-position model. The record is from RNAcentral.
GGCUUAGAAGCAGCCAUCCUUGAAAGAGUGCGUAAUAGCUCACUGGUCAAGUGAUUCUGCGCCGAUAAUGUAGCGGGGCUCAAGUACACCGCCGAAGUUGUGGCAAUGAUCUUUUUUGGAUUGUUGGGUAGGGGAGCGUCGUGUAGCCGGUGAAGCUGCGGUGUAAACCAGUGGUGGAGGCUAUGCGAGUGAGAAUGCAGGCAUGAGUAGCGAAAGAUGAGUGAGAAACUCAUCCGCCGGAUGAUCAAGGGUUCCAGGGUCAAGUUAAUCUGCCCUGGGUUAGUCGGGGCCUAAGGCGAGGCCGACAGGCGUAGUCGAUGGAUAACGGGUUGAUAUUCCCGUACCGGUGAAAAACCGCCCAUACUGAUAUUGUGAUGCUAACCAUGCGAAGCAUGAUGUGCAGGCUUUUGUUUGUGUGUUGUGUGGGUUGUGGGACCCGAUCUUUGGAGGUAAACGUGUUAACAGGUGUGACGCAGGAAGGUAGCCAAGCCACGCGAUGGUUGUCGUGGUCUAAGCGUGUAGGGUUGUCGGUUGUUAAAUGCGCCGGCUGUGUGCCUGAGACGUGAUGGGACCCCGUUUUUGGGGGAUUUGGUGAUCCUAUGCUGCCGAGAAAAGCAUCGGCGUGAGGUUUUAGCCGCCCGUACCCUAAACCGACACAGGUGAUCAGGUAGAGAAUACUAAGGCGAUCGAGAGAAUCAUGGUUAAGGAACUCGGCAAAAUGCCCCCGUAACUUCGGGAGAAGGGGGACCUUGAGCGUGAUGGGCACUUGCUGCCUGGAGCGUGUAUGGGUCGCAGAGACCAGGGGGAAGCGACUGUUUAUCAAAAACACAGGUCCGUGCGAAGUCGUAAGACGAUGUAUACGGACUGACUCCUGCCCGGUGCUGGAAGGUUAAGAGGAUUGGUUAGCCUUUUUUGGCGAAGCUGAGAAUUUAAGCCCCAGUAAACGGCGGUGGUAACUAUAACCAUCCUAAGGUAGCGAAAUUCCUUGUCGGGUAAGUUCCGACCUGCACGAAUGGAGUAACGACUUCCCUACUGUCUCAACCAUGAACUCGGCGAAAUUGCAGUACGAGUAAAGAUGCUCGUUUCGCGCAGCAGGACGGAAAGACCCCGUGACCUUUACUAUAGUUUGGUAUUGGUGUUUGGUUUGGCUUGUGUAGGAUAGGUGGGAGACUGUGAAGCAUGGACGCUAGUUUGUGUGGAGUCGUUGUUGAAAUACCACUCUGGUCAAUCUGGAUGUCUAACUUCGGGCCAUGAUCUGGUUCAGGGACAGUGCCUGAUGGGUAGUUUAACUGGGGCGGUUGCCUCCUAAAGUGUAACGGAGGCGCCCAAAGGUUCCCUCAGCCUGGUUGGCAAUCAGGUGUUGAGUGUAAGUGCACAAGGGAGCUUGACUGUGAGACUGGCAGGUCGAGCAGGGACGAAAGUCGGGACUAGUGAUCCGGCGGUACGUUGUGGAACGGCCGUCGCUCAACGGAUAAAAGGUACCUCGGGGAUAACAGGCUGAUCUUGCCCAAGAGUCCAUAUCGACGGCAUGGUUUGGCACCUCGAUGUCGGCUCGUCGCAUCCUGGGGCUGGAGUUGGUCCCAAGGGUUGGGCUGUUCGCCCAUUAAAGCGGUACGCGAGCUGGGUUCAGAACGUCGUGAGACAGUUCGGUCCCUAUCCGCUGCGCGCGUUGGAAAUUUGAGAAAGGCUGUCCUUAGUACGAGAGGACCGGGACGGACGAACCUCUGGUAUGUCAGUUGUACCGCCAGGUGCAUGGCUGAUUGGCUACGUUCGGGAGGGAUAACCGCUGAAAGCAUCUAAGCGGGAAGCCUGUUUCGAGAUGAGAUUUCCUGGCACUUUUUGGUGUGUGAGGCUCCUUAUAGAUGAUGAGGUUGAUAGGCCGGGUAUGGAAGCGGGGACUGAAGACUCGUGGAGUUGACUGGUACUAAUAGGCCGAAGGCUUACUUU